RNAcentral lists this ribosomal RNA (439 nucleotides) under uncultured bacterium. RNAcentral describes it as "partial 16S ribosomal RNA". It matches the Rfam family "Bacterial small subunit ribosomal RNA", at positions 342 to 795 of the family's 1533-position model. The record is from RNAcentral.
CGGGUGGCUGCAGCAGUGAGGAAUAUUGCACAAUGGGGGGAACCCUGAUGCAGCAACGCCGCGUGGAGGAUGACGCAUUUCGGUGUGUAAACUCCUUUUAUAUGUCAAGAAAAUGACGGUAGCAUAUGAAUAAGCACCGGCUAACUCCGUGCCAGCAGCCGCGCUAAUACGGAGGGUGCAAGCGUUACUCGGAGUCACUGGGCGUAAAGGACGCGUAGGCGGGUUGGAAAGUCAGGUGUGAAAUCCUACAGCUUAACUGUAGAACUGCACUUGAAACUUCUAAUCUAGAGUAUGGGAGGGGGAGAUGGAAUUAGUGGUGUAGGGGUAAAAUCCGUAGAUAUCACUAGGAAUACCUAAAGCGAAGGCGAUCUCCUGGAACAUUACUGACGCUAAGGCGUGAAAGCGUGGGGAGCAAACAGGAUUAGAUACCCUUGUAGUC